Vanessa tameamea is the source of this 2621-nucleotide RNA transcript. It is a transcript of the gene named ras-related protein Rab-11A, with no coding region annotated. The transcript is spliced from 6 exons. NCBI's taxonomy places the organism in Eukaryota, Metazoa, Arthropoda, Insecta, Lepidoptera, Nymphalidae. The record is from RefSeq and is a predicted model, not a curated record.
UAGAAGCAAAGAUAACAUAAAUACAUUUCUGAACGCAACAUAGGGGCGUUAAACAAUCCGCCAUUUUGUCCCAGUGACAAUUUAGGAUUUAAAUUAGUUUUUAACCCGUCUUUUUUUAAUUAAUCCGUUAUUCAAAGUGAUAUUUUGUGAGCUGUGUAGUGUUUAAAAAGCCUGUGAUAUUUUUGUGUAAAACUAUUUUGUUUACGUUACGCAUAUCUUGACGUUAUUAGUUGACCGAUUUUGACGUCGAACGGACAACUAGAUAAUCAAAAUGGGUACAAGAGAGGACGAAUACGAUUAUUUGUUCAAAGUCGUUUUGAUUGGAGACUCGGGAGUGGGUAAAAGCAGUCUUCUUUCGCGUUUCACUAGAAAUGAAUUCAACUUAGAGUCAAAAUCUACAAUAGGAGUGGAAUUUGCAACAAGAAGUAUAGAGGUUGACGGUAAAACCAUAAAAGCUCAAAUAUGGGAUACUGCGGGUCAGGAGAGGUAUCGCGCCAUCACGUCCGCGUACUACCGCGGCGCGGUCGGUGCGCUGCUCGUCUACGACAUCGCGAAACAUCUCUCCUACGAGAACGUUGAGCGAUGGCUGCGCGAACUGCGCGAUCACGCCGAUCAGAACAUAUUAAUCAUGCUCGUCGGGAACAAGAGCGAUCUUAGGCACCUCAGAUCUAUCCCAACAGAAGAGGCAAAGGCAUUCGCGGAACGGAACGGGCUUAGUUUUAUUGAAACAUCCGCUCUCGACUCGACUAACGUGGAACCGGCAUUCCAGAAUAUAUUAACGGAGAUCUACAGGAUCGUCUCGCAGAAGCAGAUGCGCGACCCGCCCGAGGGCGACGUGAUCCGGCCCGACGCCGAGCCGGCCGACGUGCGGCCCUCCGGCGCCGACUCCGUGCGCAAGCAGUGCUGCCAGUAGACCGGUACCGGUCAUUGUUGUUGUUGGUGACAUAAACGAAAUGUUGACCAUUGUAAAAAAGUCCUGUUAUUUUUGGAGCGGAAGAGAGAAAUGAAAAGGAAUAUAAAAUGCAAGAAAAUGAAUCAUUCCCAGACAAGGUCUAAUCUAUAAAAACAGAACUUUAGUUGCCAGAUCAAAAAUAAACAGUUAAACAUAAAAACCUGCCAUUAAAAAGAACUUAUAUAUUAUACACGGAGUUAUAACUGUGUCUUGAAAUCGCUUGUUAAAAAUAUAUUUAUUUUUGACUGGCAACACUCAACUCAGAAGCAGUAAAGAGCGGCUCAUGUAGAUAGCUUUGUGUAAUUAUUGAUAUUUAGUGUCGGAACUAUUAAAAGGUUAAAUCUAUAAUAAUUAUAAUGUGGAGAUGCAAUUUAUCACAUCGUAGUACGAGUCAGAGCUAUGAACGCACUCGAUUAUUAUUUGGCGCUUCUAGGAACGUACACACCUGAAUGAUUUUUUUUAUUUAAAAGGAAAAAAAAUAUUUGUUUCGACUUAGUGAAUAAUUCAUAUAUCUAUUUAUUUAGUUAAUAAAAAGUGUUUAACUAGCCAGUUCUUUAAUUAUUUGUUAUCUAUAUAAAUUGCGUUAUAGCGCUACUUCCUGUGACGUCAUUUGUCACGCGCUCAUUUUUGACAGAACAUCUGUCAAGAAAAGCGACACUAGCGCUGUAUAUUUUUUACUAAACUACCCUCAAAAUAAACCUUUUUUUAAAGAUAUAUCAGAAUUAAAAGCAAUAAUAUGUUUCGAUUGAUGAAAUUAAAACAAGACAGCUUCAUAUCCAUUUAACAUUUCGCAUAACAUUAGCUAAUAGUUGUAUUAAGAGAUGAGAUAGCUUUAUUAAAUCAUUUUUUUUUAUGGAUAUUACGUGCCUUCGGACAUGGCGACAUGUACGUUUUAUUAGAGCUUUUUUCUCCAUGUUGAAGUUUGAGAAUCGUCUAAACGCCUUAUCUAAUAUUGAUUUCCAAUAACUUCGAUGACAAACCGAUCGAUGACGUCACCAUUUCAACAAAAAUAUUAUUUAAAACCGUUUAAUGUUUAAAUCAACAAUUUGAAAUAAUGAUGGUAUUCGGAGAAGCUUAUUAAACGUGUUUCAAUUAUAAUAUUCGUUCAAAAGAAAGUGGCAAAGCAUUUCUUAACUUAAACAAGUGUAAGGGUUUUCGGCUUUACUUAGAAAUGUUGUUUAGAGGGGUAAUUAGUUAAAUAAUGUGUCUUUUUCUCUCGAAUGUUAAAUGCAUGCUGUUAGAAAGAGAGGAAUCAGUAUUUAACUUAAAAUCCCUAAACAAUGUUUGUAUGUAAGGUGGUUUAUGAUUACAGUUGUAUAAGAGUUAGUUUUAAAGCAUUUUAUAAUAUUAAUAUAGGAUCUUUUGGCUGUGUCAACAUGGAGUUAUUGGUCACUUGGAAACGAACCAACAACAAAUUCGCUUUAUAGGAAAAUAACAUUUGCAUUAUUUGAAAUAAGGGUUAUUUUUAAGUGCCGUUUAUGACAAUACUCAGUAUGGUCUCAUUAACAUCGACGGUCCUGUGGCUCCUUAAGGCUUGUCUCAACAUGCGGUGUUCGUUGUAUAAGAAAUAUGUUAUUGUAUUAUGAUCUUCAUAUGCAUGGUUAUUUUUUUAGUGCCUAUCUGUAAUUACUUUAUUAAAGACAAAGAUAAUAAAAUAUAAUGUAAAUUU